This 515-nucleotide ribosomal RNA is filed under the name uncultured bacterium. RNAcentral's name for it is "partial 16S ribosomal RNA". It matches the Rfam family "Bacterial small subunit ribosomal RNA", at positions 28 to 523 of the family's 1533-position model. The record is from RNAcentral.
GAUGAACGCUGGCGGCGUGCCUAAUACAUGCAAGUCGAGCGAAUGGAUUAAGAGCUUGCUCUUAUGAAGUUAGCGGCGGACGGGUGAGUAACACGUGGGUAACCUGCCCAUAAGACUGGGAUAACUCCGGGAAACCGGGGCUAAUACCGGAUAACAUUUUGAACCGCAUGGUUCGAACUUGAAAGGCGGCUUCGGCUGUCACUUAUGGAUGGACCCGCGUCGCAUGAGCUAGUUGGUGAGGUAACGGCUCGCCAAGGCAACGAUGCGUCGCCGCCCUGAGAGGGUGAUCGGCCACACUGGGACUGAGACACCGCCCAGACUCAUACGGGAGGCAGCAGUAGGGGAUCUUCCGCAAUGGACGAAAGUCUGACGGAGCAACGCCGCGUGAGUGAUGAAGGCUUUCGGGUCGUAAAACUCUGUUGUUAGGGAAGAACAAGUGCUAGUUGAAUAAGCUGGCACCUUGACGGUACCUAACCAGAAAGCCACGGCUAACUACGUGCCAGCCGCCGCGGUAA